This is a long non-coding RNA of Eptesicus fuscus (big brown bat), 249 nucleotides long. RefSeq lists it as uncharacterized. Lineage: Eukaryota; Metazoa; Chordata; Mammalia; Chiroptera; Vespertilionidae. The record is from RefSeq and is a predicted model, not a curated record. The transcript has 3 exons.
CCUCCAGCCGAGGGCAUGGUGCCUGCUCCCGCCAGCUCAGCACGCUGCGCCUGCAGGGCCGGCAGCAGUCCAUCCCUCACCACCCCCGUGGAACAGCUCCCUCACCCUCUAUAGCCGGUUUCCUGCAGGCUCGGCUCCGGCUCCCGCAAGGCCAGCUGAGGUGCAGAGCCCGUGCCUGCCCGGCUCUGACGUUGCUGUGCUGGCACCAGGCGAGGCCUGACACCCAGAUAGGAUAUGCAGGACCCAUGG